Molecule: non-coding RNA, 72 nt
Organism: Phrynosoma platyrhinos (Desert horned lizard)
Lineage: Eukaryota; Metazoa; Chordata; Lepidosauria; Squamata; Phrynosomatidae
Source: the annotation of a GenBank genome assembly
GACAGCGUAGUGUAGUGGUUUGAGUGUUGGACUAUGACUCUGGAGACCAGGGUUCAAUUCCCAGCUCAGCCA